Molecule: long non-coding RNA, 5249 nt
Filed under: Strigops habroptila (Kakapo)
Lineage: Eukaryota; Metazoa; Chordata; Aves; Psittaciformes; Psittacidae
Description: lncRNA (ENSSHBG00005006247.1)
Source: RNAcentral
UCACAGAAUUUUUUAAUACUGUUCAAAAAGUACCUGACUCUACAUAAACACCAACUAUAACAUGAUGUAGACAAUCGAGAAACAAGCAAAUGUAUUUUUCAAUGCUAAAAUAAAUUACAUUUGUACAAGUAGAAAGCAAAACCAAAGCUGAUAAAAAUGUUAAAUUUUAUGAAAAAUCAUUUUCAGUUCACAUCAAAAUAAUAACUUUACAUUCUCUAUUUUUAAUAGUAUAAGCAGCAACAACAUAAAAAAGAACAAAUGCUCACAGAAUGUUUGAAACCAGUUGUUCAUAAGUCAUUAGCAAAUUAAAAAAAAUAAUAAUUACAAGCACUUGUAGCCCACACAAAUCUUUUAGAAUUGGCACCGUCUCUCUAAAACAUCUAUAUUCUAUAUAGAUUUCUAAUUACAAAUACCACCAGCAGCUGCCAUAUAAUCCUAUUAGUACAUGUAAUAUACAUAGUAUAUUUGUUCCCAUUUGGCAGAUUGGAGUGACUUAAUGAUUAUUGUUUGCUAGUACUGUCAUUACUCAGAUGAGACAAAACCAGCCAUAUACAUCAAUUCAUCACCUAGAUGAAUUUUUUACUUACCUUUAUGCUUCACUGGUCUGCAUCUUUCCUCCUUUUCACAGUAUAAAAUUGUAAGUGGCAAUUGAAGAGAUUUGAACAGAGGGUAUAGUAAUAAACCAUAGCAAAAAAAAGUGAAUUCAGAUAAUUCAACUGAAGUCUUUAAUAUGUGCAGUGCACACUGAAAUGGGUAGCAGAUGAAUUAUUUGCCUGUUCAUGGAGAGAAUUGACUUCCUUUUAUGAGAUUCAUGAAACUGCCAGAAAACUGUGACCUGUUUCUUAUUUUUGGGCAUAUUCUCUUGCAUCACUUAACACAUUUAGUCAGUACAAUUUUCCCAUUUGGCAUACCUGCUAGAGUAGCAAUGAUGAAGAAGAAUGGUGGGGAGGUACUAUUCACCAAGCCUAGCAAGUUGCUUCAAGAAUUAAUCCAAUAAAAUACAUCUGCUUUUUGAUUCAAAAGAAAGUGGGCAGAACAUCCUGUCCUUAUCAUUCUCUGCUGAACCAAAUAGCCAAGAUCUAUAGACUUGGUUGGCCACUAUCAAACUUCGAUUUUCUUUACAUGUAUAUUAGUCUGGAGUGAUUCCAUUGACCUCAAUAGGUUAAGGGCCAAUGCCAGUAAAGGACUUCAGCACUUAAAGUUAUGCAGUGUAAUAGCUAUUUUUGUACUAUUUGGCUCUAGUGUGGAGGCCAAAACCCUUUGUUAAAUGUCUGGCCUUGGUGUGAAGUUUGUAAGAAGACUUAGGUGCCCAGGAAAGCAAUGUAACAUGGAAAGAGAGGUCUGAUAUUACUCUGUGUGAGCCAGUAUGGAAAUGAAAUGCACAGAAAAUACUAAUUUUCAACUGGGAUCCAUUUCUGGACAUGGCUAUACUUUUUGCUUCAAAAAGGGUCCCUUUUUUCUGCAGGCUCAGAGAAGGGGGAACCUCAAGUUUAAUUCCUUUGCCUACCCAAGAAGACUCAGAAUUUCCCUUUCCGUGGAGGAGUCUGAAAACUCCAGGUGGAAUACAAGAUGGUUGCAGACACAGAGGUAAGGAAGGGCACGUCAUUCCCUCCUGUCACUAAAGCACUUUUCAGGGAAGUAUUUAACAGGAUGGGGGUGUUAGCCAAUGCAUAUCAUAGAAAAAAUGUUGUCUCUAUUUUGUAGUUGCAGUCUUUGUGUCUCCACUUCUUUUGCAGUCAUCUGGUCUGUGCUCCAGAGAUUUCUGAAGUAUUUUGUGCUAAAUGGUCAUAUACCAUCCUUAAUUGCAUCAAGUGUAUGUCCUAUCAGGGUCCAGAGUAGCUGUUCCUUUUCUAUGCUGGGACUCAAAUUUGUUUCUAUCUUGUGAAGCUGACAUACCUCAACACUGAGUCAUUUGAGCACUUUUCAGCUAGGGGUAAGUUUUCAAUCACCUCCGAUAACGGUAGGGUUUGAAUUUAGGUCUCUCACCUGUCCAAAUGCUCUAACCCCAAGGCUUAUUGUAAGAAAACAGCAGCAUAACCAGACCCACAGCCUUAAAACAAAGGAUGAUUUCUACUCCAUUUUGUUGGAAGUAUGAUCCUAUUGGUCUUUGAGGAGUUGUACGCUCUAUGUACUCACUCAUGGGAUAUACAGGGAUUUAAUGUAGGAACAGCUGUUUUCUGGAUCCCUGAUGGGUUUCAGCAUGAGUUAGAUGUGUCAAGAUAAGGAUAGUUCUAAGCAUGCGCAGAUGUGCAAUGCUAGAUGCCUCAGUAACGUGACAGUUGAAUAGUGAUUUAAAAAUUGAGUUUUAAAUGUAGAUAUUAAAUUCUGCUGAAAUCUUAACUUUAGACAUCAAAGUCCUUUUUUGGGUCAGCCCUGACAUUGGUCUCCAAUACAAUAAAAAGUCAUGGUCACAUAAUUAAUCCUGAGCAUAGUGCUCCAAUUUCCCUAAGGACCCGACAUUUUUUGUAUGUCGUCUGUUGCUGUCACGUUUUUUCUUCUCACCUCAUAAAUGAUGUAUUAAGCAGAAUAGCAAAGUCGCACACUUUCCUCUACAGAGUUUACAACCACAGCUGUGUUGUCUUUCAGUCUGGUCUUGGUGUCUCUAAAGAAAACAUCCCCAGGUGAACUCCACUAUCAUCCGGAGUCAGAAUCAUGGAUUGGCCCUCCCAAUUACUCUCUUUGGAGAUCUUAUUCUCACAGUUUUGACUGCUAAGUUUUCCUUUUGCAAACACAGCAACUGAAUAAAUAUCCAAGCAAGCUAACUUUCUUUUUCUUUUAAAACUUUUAACUGUUAUUUUUUAAUUAACAUUUAAUUUGCUUUUGUAGCUGGAAAUUGAUGGAAGAAGCCAGCACCUUGCGACCAACUAGGCUCCCAUGAAACAUCAGCAAGUGCUUUGUGGACCAUGGUCUAAAAAUCUCUGGUCUAAAGCAUCUGUAUGAGUCUAGGCACCAAAUGUUCAGAUAGAAAUACAAGGAAGCACAUCUCUAAAUGUCAUGCAGUUGUUCUUCAGAACCAAUUUAAAAUGCAGUUCUUCUUCAGUAUUGCUAACACUUCUUCCCAGCUGGCCUGCCAGAACAAUUCAUUUUAUUUCAAGAGCACAGAUUCCAGAAGUGGUUACACCUUCACUCGUCAGGGUUGGCCUCAAGAACAAAAGAAACAAGUGAUUUUUCCAAGGUCCCUGCAGUCAAGAAUGACAAUUGUUUCAACUCCUUUAAUUCCCUUUCUGGCAGCAGCACUAAGUUGGAAGGCAAAGUCAAGCCAUUCAGUUGGUAAUUGCACAUUCUUUAGUUAGAUUGGGAAGUACUCAUAACCGUACCCUUUGCUUUAUGUUUUCACCCUGCCAAUUAAUCUUAAUGCCCUAAACAGACUAGCAUACAAACAGCAUAAUGAAAUCAUAUAUGUCUUUCAUGAGUUUCUUUUUCUUGUGUCAAAAUAUUUGGCUUCUAUCAAACGACUUUCCAGCCUUUCAGAUCUCCUACUGGGCUCUUUUGAAUUACUACUACAGUCACUACCUUCUUCUCACAAAAAAAACUUUCCUCCCUUUGUUGAAAUCCAAGCAUAUAAUUCAAAGUGAGACUGGUACAUUCAAGCUUGUACAAUUAAAAUGAAUUCUUCCUUCUUUAAAUGCCAUUAAGGCUGAUCUAUCUUUCAUUAAAGAUAGACUGACAAAAAGGAGGUACAAUCUCAGCAGGGUCCAUCCUUGGUUCCUUGUGCAAUUAAAAUUUCUGCUGUGGCUAAACGGAUACACAAAAAUGCAUGACUUCUCCCAGAGAAAGAAUGAACAAAGUGCUCAAAAUUUGGGUUGUAUAACAUUGGGGUUUUAGCCUCUUACAACAUGGAUUCAGGUGUUUGAGGGGUUUGUAUGUGUGUGGGUGUGCACACAUGCAUGCAUACAUCAUCUUGGCAAUAUGUAUGAAAGCUGACAAGAAGCUCUGAGCAAUAGCUACAGCCAAGGUUGAGCAGAAUUGCAAUUUGGGAGCAGAAGAGGUAUAUUUGUGCUGAGUCAUGGUUCGACAGUUUCUAUUUCUCAUUCCUUUUUACCGAUUUUAUUUUUGAGAAAAGAUUUUUAUGUCUAUCUGUAUAAUCCUUAUUUUCAUUGUCGAUUGUUUCACAGUGCAGUGAAGCCCACAGAUUUUAGCAGGAUUACGUUAGUAUCAAGUGUCCACCAAACAUAAGAAAAGACUACAAAAACUGGAACCUAAAAGGCUAGGAAAAGACCAAGGUGGAGAAUGUUCUAGUAAGGACAAUUGGUCAACAGCUUAAAGAGUAUGAGAACAGAUAGUAAUAGAAAGCCUUUGAAAUUCACACUAACUAUCUCAGUACAUUCUGUGUAUAUCAAAACAAUAUUGUACUGAUGGGAAACAUAUAUUAUCAUAUAAGUAUUCCAUGAACAACAUUUAAGUGGUCCAUAAUCCCUAAACAAGAAUGUUUGUGUCACAGACUGAUUGGACAUGCUCUUCCUUUGAAUGUGGGUUGUAACCUGUGAAGAAGAUGGUUUCUGCUAAAGACAUGGCGAGUUAAGGAAUGAUGAGACAUGCUAGUACUGUGAACCAGGAGGGCAAACCCAAGCCCUGGUCUGGAAACAGUACAGCUGCACGGAACUGAGUCUGUGCUAACCAGUCGUGCAAGGGGCAAGAACUACACAUAAGCAGCAGAGACCUACAGUCAUGACUUGGUGUAUUGACCUUCUUUCUGGAGUAGAGUUGUUUUGUGACCUGCUGAUUCAUGCUAUAGGCAUAGCUAGUAAACGACUUUACCUGGCAAAAUAAGCAUGCCAACAGGCUGCUAAUGGAUAACACUUCCUUGUGCAGGAUGUACGGAGUCACUACUGUAUCUCUGUGAGGUGCUAGCCUGGAUUCAGUCAUCUAUUACUUUUGGUUUCUAAUGUUGUUGAGCAGCAAGUUGGUUUGCAGCAUGCAAUGGUGAAAUUAGCUUUCCAAAGGAAUAGAAAAUGCGCUUUGCUAAAGUAUGUGAAUGUGCUUUCAUCUUUCUUUUUUUUGUUUGCUAAAAUAUCUAUUAUUUUGGACAUGGGGAAGAGAAAGGGAGUAUGAAUUUCGAUUACAAAAUAUUUGUUAUCUUUGAAGAGAUAAGAUUGAAAGGUUUUGAAAAUGAAACAUAGCAGCCUUAUUUCAAGGCUCCCUUCCAAGAGGCUGUCUUCUAUAUAAGGCUACAUCAACUCAAUUUUGAAUUGAAGUACAUCACUCACCACUUCAUACUAUCCUUAAAUAAAAUAAAACAAAACAAACCC